GAUGAACGCUGGCGGCGUGCUUAACACAUGCAAGUCGAACGGUGAACACGGAGCUUGCUCUGUGGGAUCAGUGGCGAACGGGUGAGUAACACGUGAGCAACCUGCCCCUGACUCUGGGAUAAGCGCUGGAAACGGCGUCUAAUACUGGAUAUGUGACGUGACCGCAUGGUCUGCGUUUGGAAAGAUUUUUCGGUUGGGGAUGGGCUCGCGGCCUAUCAGCUUGUUGGUGAGGUAAUGGCUCACCAAGGCGUCGACGGGUAGCCGGCCUGAGAGGGUGACCGGCCACACUGGGACUGAGACACGGCCCAGACUCCUACGGGAGGCAGCAGUGGGGAAUAUUGCACAAUGGGCGCAAGCCUGAUGCAGCAACGCCGCGUGAGGGAUGACGGCCUUCGGGUUGUAAACCUCUUCUAGCAGGGAAGAAGCGAAAGUGACGGUACCUGCAGAAAAAGCGCCGGCUAACUACGUG
This 469-nucleotide ribosomal RNA is filed under the name uncultured bacterium. RNAcentral's name for it is "partial 16S ribosomal RNA". It matches the Rfam family "Bacterial small subunit ribosomal RNA", at positions 28 to 507 of the family's 1533-position model. The record is from RNAcentral.